GUGCCAGCCGCCGCGGUAAUACCGGCAGCUCAAGUGAUGGCCAAUAUUAUUGGGCCUAAAGCGUCCGUAGCCUGCCAGACAGGUCCGUCGGGAAAUCUGCUCGCUCAACGAGCAGGCGUCCGGCGGAAACCAGCUGGCUUGGGGCCGGAAGACCCAAGGGGUACGUCUGGGGUAGGAGUGAAAUCCUGUAAUCCUAGACGGACCACCGAUCGCGAAAGCACCUUGGGAGGACGGACCCGACGGUGAGGGACGAAAGCUAGGGUCACGAACCGGAUUAGAUACCCCGGUAGUCC
RNAcentral lists this ribosomal RNA (293 nucleotides) under uncultured bacterium. Its description in RNAcentral is "partial 16S ribosomal RNA". It matches the Rfam family "Archaeal small subunit ribosomal RNA", at positions 455 to 747 of the family's 1478-position model. The record is from RNAcentral.